Molecule: transfer RNA, 85 nt
Organism: Felis catus (domestic cat)
Lineage: Eukaryota; Metazoa; Chordata; Mammalia; Carnivora; Felidae
Rfam family: tRNA
About the family: Transfer RNA (tRNA) molecules are approximately 80 nucleotides in length. Their secondary structure includes four short double-helical elements and three loops (D, anti-codon, and T loops).
Source: Rfam
GCUUGGGUGGCUCAGUCGGUUAAGCAUCUGACUUCUGCUCAGGUCACCAUCUCACGGUUUGUGGGUUCAAGCCCCGCGUCGGGCU